GCCGAUAUAGUUCAGUGGCAGAACAGCGGUUUCGUAAACCGUAAAUGGUAGUUCGAUUCUACCUAUCGGCU
This 71-nucleotide transfer RNA is filed under the name Candidatus Levybacteria bacterium RIFCSPLOWO2_12_FULL_37_14. RNAcentral describes it as "tRNA-Thr". It matches the Rfam family "tRNA". Rfam says of the family: Transfer RNA (tRNA) molecules are approximately 80 nucleotides in length. Their secondary structure includes four short double-helical elements and three loops (D, anti-codon, and T loops). The record is from RNAcentral. Lineage: Bacteria; Candidatus Levyibacteriota.